Molecule: ribosomal RNA, 783 nt
Filed under: Triticum aestivum (bread wheat)
Lineage: Eukaryota; Viridiplantae; Streptophyta; Magnoliopsida; Poales; Poaceae
Description: partial small subunit ribosomal RNA
Source: RNAcentral
AUGCGGUUCACACAUGAAGGGCAAUGGAUUACACUCAAAGGUAUUCGGUCCACACCAUGCAAAUGCAAACUAGUCUCUGUAGGCAAGCUGAAAGGGUUGUUGCGUCGUGGUGCAGUUCAACAAGCAGUGCAGAUCAAGCACAUUCAUCAGGAGAGGGACCUGGUAGCUAUCCAGGUAUCAAAGACAGACGAGCCCGUGCCCCCAGAGGUGCAGUCGCUGCUACAGGAGUUUGAGGACCGUUUCAGUGUGCCUUCCACACUUCCCCUGCAUCGAGCCGAUGAUCAUACCAUCCCAUUGAUUCCGGGAGCACAGCCGGUCAUUGCACGGCCGUAUCGGUACACCCCCCAGCAGAAGGAUGAGAUCGAGCGAUAGAUCAAAGAGAUGCUUCGAGUAGGGAUUAUCCGCCCCAGUACAAGCCCCUUUGCUGCUCCAGUCCUGCUUGUUCGCAAGAAAGAUGGCUCAUGGCGUUUCUGUGUCGACUAUCGACAGCUGAACGCGAUCACAGUUAAGAACAAACAUCCCAUGCCUGUGGUGGAUGAACUGCUCGAUGAUCUUGCAGGUGCCAAGUGAUUCACCAAGUUAGACCUACCCUCCGGUUACCACCAGAUCAGGGUCGCAGACGAAGAUGUGUUCAAAACAGCUUUUCGCACGCAUCAAGGGUUGUAUGAGUUCCUGGUAAUGCCGUUUAGGCUGUCUCGCGCUCCUGGCUCAUUUCAAGGGAUGAUUCAUAAGGUUUCACUACAAGAAAUAUGUCAACUUGUGACCACCACUAUUGGUCACUGA